Camellia sinensis is the source of this 735-nucleotide non-coding RNA. Lineage: Eukaryota; Viridiplantae; Streptophyta; Magnoliopsida; Ericales; Theaceae. The record is from RefSeq and is a predicted model, not a curated record.
CACAGAACAGUUACCACCAAACCUCACUCCCGCUCACCACCCAACCAUCGCUGGGCACCGUCGCACGCCACCGUCGCACAUCGCCGCCGCCGCAAAUCACCACUGCCGCUGUUGCAGAAAGAGUGAGAUCGUGGAGUGGUGGAGAUGGGAUCUGGAGCUGGAAGCUUCCUCAAGGUCGUUGCUAACAACUUCGAUGUUCUCGCUGGGUAUCUCUCUCUAUCUCUCUAUCUACUUUACCCAAAUUCUAUUGAUACAGAGACAGUCGGACAGAAAUCAAUUUCAAUGCCCUUCUCUCUUGUUCUUUGCUUCGCAGCUAUGCUAUUGUUCUCUUUUUGUUUUCUCAAAUAUGAAUUUUCUACACUUUACUCAAACCAACCCUGAAUACGUUAUUUUAUUUUAAUUUUUUUCCAAUUUUGAGUAAAAAUAGUUUGCUUUCUAGGUCUACAUCCUAAAAAUUUAAAAAGAAAAACUGGAACAAGUUUGAAAAGAAAAAAAAAAAAAUUGUAAGUACAAUUUACCACUAACAUUUUUUCUUUUUUACUUUCCUUGUUUCCUUCUCUAUAAUUUGUUGAUGUUUCUAAGAGACAAGAGCAUAACUGGUAGCCAUUUGCAGUAUUUUUCUUUGCAUAUGAUUGGAAACAUGCCUUUUUUCCACCUCGUUGUUGCUUGCUCUAUCAUUUGAAUUAGCAAGUCAAUGGAGAAAUUAUGCUUGCCAUUAUACUUUGCUGCCAUUAA